This 440-nucleotide ribosomal RNA is filed under the name uncultured bacterium. RNAcentral's name for it is "partial 16S ribosomal RNA". It matches the Rfam family "Bacterial small subunit ribosomal RNA", at positions 338 to 795 of the family's 1533-position model. The record is from RNAcentral.
CCUACGGGAGGCAGCAGUGGGGGAUAUUGCACAAUGGGGGAAACCCUGAUCCAGCAACGUCGCGUGUGGGAAGAAGGUUCUCUGAUUUUAAACCUCUGUUCUUGGUGAAGUUAAUGACGGUAAGCAAGGAGAUAGCUCUGGCGAAAUACGUGCCAGCAGCCGCGGCAAUACGUAGGGAGCAAGCGUUGUCCGGAUUUACUGGGUGUAAAGGGUGCGUAGGCGGUCUUGCAAGUCAGACGUGAAAACCACAGGCUCAACCUGUGGACUGCGUUUGAAACUGUUGGGCUUGAGUGAAGUAGAGGUAGGCGGAAUUCGUCGUGUAGCGGUGAAAUGCUUAGAUAUGACGCAGAACCCCGAUUGCGAAGGCAGCUUGCUGCAGCGGAACUGACGCUGAUGCUCGAAAGCGCGGGUAUCGAACAGGAUUAGAUACCCUGGUAGUC